CGUGAGGAACCUGCCUUUCAGAGGGGGACAACAGUUGGAAACGACUGCUAAUACCGCAUGAUACAUUGGAGUCGCAUGGCUCUGAUGUCAAAGAUUUAUCGCUGAAAGAUGGCCUCGCGUCUGAUUAGCUAGUUGGUGAGGUAACGGCCCACCAAGGCGACGAUCAGUAGCCGGACUGAGAGGUUGACCGGCCACAUUGGGACUGAGAUACGGCCCAG
This 218-nucleotide ribosomal RNA is filed under the name uncultured bacterium. Its description in RNAcentral is "partial 16S ribosomal RNA". It matches the Rfam family "Bacterial small subunit ribosomal RNA", at positions 116 to 334 of the family's 1533-position model. The record is from RNAcentral.